RNAcentral lists this ribosomal RNA (938 nucleotides) under Lactobacillus iners. RNAcentral's name for it is "bacterial SSU rRNA". It matches the Rfam family "Bacterial small subunit ribosomal RNA", at positions 20 to 916 of the family's 1533-position model. The record is from RNAcentral. Lineage: Bacteria; Bacillati; Bacillota; Bacilli; Lactobacillales; Lactobacillaceae.
UGGCUCAGGACGAACGCUGGCGGCGUGCCUAAUACAUGCAAGUCGAGCGAGUCUGCCUUGAAGAUCGGAGUGCUUGCACUCUGUGAAACAAGAUACAGGCUAGCGGCGGACGGGUGAGUAACACGUGGGUAACCUGCCCAAGAGAUCGGGAUAACACCUGGAAACAGAUGCUAAUACCGGAUAACAACAGAUGAUGCCUAUCAACUGUUUAAAAGAUGGUUCUGCUACCACUCUUGGAUGGACCUGCGGUGCAUUAGCUAGUUGGUAGGGUAACGGCCUACCAAGGCGAUGAUGCAUAGCCGAGUUGAGAGACUGAUCGGCCACAUUGGGACUGAGACACGGCCCAAACUCCUACGGGAGGCAGCAGUAGGGAAUCUUCCACAAUGGACGCAAGUCUGAUGGAGCAACGCCGCGUGAGUGAAGAAGGGGUUUCGGCUCGUAAAGCUCUGUUGUUGGUGAAGAAGGACAGGGGUAGUAACUGACCUUUGUUUGACGGUAAUCAAUUAGAAAGUCACGGCUAACUACGUGCCAGCAGCCGCGGUAAUACGUAGAUGGCAAGCGUUGUCCGGAUUUAUUGGGCGUAAAGCGAGUGCAGGCGGCUCGAUAAGUCUGAUGUGAAAGCCUUCGGCUCAACCGGAGAAUUGCAUCAGAAACUGUCGAGCUUGAGUACAGAAGAGGAGAGAGGAACUCCAUGUGUAGCGGUGAAAUGCGUAGAUAUAUGGAAGAACACCGGUGGCGAAGGCGGCUCUCUGGUCUGUUACUGACGCUGAGGCUCGAAAGCAUGGGUAGCGAACAGGAUUAGAUACCCUGGUAGUCCAUGCCGUAAACGAUGAGUGCUAAGUGUUGGGAGGUUUCCGCCUCACAGUGCUGCAGCUAACGCAUUAAGCACUCCGCCUGGGGAGUACGACCGCAAGGUUGAAACUUAAAGGAAUUGACGG